This 606-nucleotide ribosomal RNA is filed under the name Shigella flexneri. RNAcentral describes it as "bacterial SSU rRNA". It matches the Rfam family "Bacterial small subunit ribosomal RNA", at positions 860 to 1466 of the family's 1533-position model. Lineage: Bacteria; Pseudomonadati; Pseudomonadota; Gammaproteobacteria; Enterobacterales; Enterobacteriaceae. The record is from RNAcentral.
UUAAGUCGACCGCCUGGGGAGUACGGCCGCAAGGUUAAAACUCAAAUGAAUUGACGGGGGCCCGCACAAGCGGUGGAGCAUGUGGUUUAAUUCGAUGCAACGCGAAGAACCUUACCUGGUCUUGACAUCCACGGAAGUUUUCAGAGAUGAGAAUGUGCCUUCGGGAACCGUGAGACAGGUGCUGCAUGGCUGUCGUCAGCUCGUGUUGUGAAAUGUUGGGUUAAGUCCCGCAACGAGCGCAACCCUUAUCCUUUGUUGCCAGCGGUCCGGCCGGGAACUCAAAGGAGACUGCCAGUGAUAAACUGGAGGAAGGUGGGGAUGACGUCAAGUCAUCAUGGCCCUUACGACCAGGGCUACACACGUGCUACAAUGGCGCAUACAAAGAGAAGCGACCUCGCGAGAGCAAGCGGACCUCAUAAAGUGCGUCGUAGUCCGGAUUGGAGUCUGCAACUCGACUCCAUGAAGUCGGAAUCGCUAGUAAUCGUGGAUCAGAAUGCCACGGUGAAUACGUUCCCGGGCCUUGUACACACCGCCCGUCACACCAUGGGAGUGGGUUGCAAAAGAAGUAGGUAGCUUAACCUUCGGGAGGGCGCUUACCACUUUGUG